GGGCCUUGGAGGUGCUUUUGCCUCCCAAACCCAAUCCAACCUCCCCACACCUCCUUCAGAGAGGCCCAGAGAGGAAAGCUGUGGUGUCCCUGGGAGCUGGACCAGGGCCUGGGGUGGGGACGGGGGCGGGUUGUUCUUCUCUUGUUCCAGUCCCAAAAUGGCCUGGGCAAACCCCAGGAGGGCUGGCCACGCAUGGCAGAGGUUGGGGGCCGUGCAAGACCCUGGCAGAGUUCCCGCCGGUCUCUGUCUCAGUCUGUCUCUGCCCUUAGGGUUGGCACCCCCACCCCAGCUUCCCCGAGUGAGGCUUCCAUGGGCACAACUGGCCCUGGAGCCAGGACAGGUGUAUGGGGGCUGGGGGGGUGGAGGCAGCUCCCCAGAGAGCGAGUGUGAGUGGUGGGGCUGCAGGGGUGGGUCCUCCCAAAAGGAGAGGGGCCAGGGAGCCUGUCCCAACUGGCCCCAGGCAGGAGCAGAGGUUUGGAAAUGGCUUCUUCCGGGGACAGCUGCUUCAGCAGGGCUUCCUGUGUGACAGCCAUGUGGGGCGCGGGCCCAGCUCUCACCCCGACAACCACUUCCUCUUCUCUUUGCUUCCAUCAGCCCUUUUAAGCCUCUGCAACAGAGCCUGGCGUGGUGUUGCCCCACUGCAUGUUUGUUGACUGACUGGCUGAUGGAUGCAGAGCCCGUCCUUCCUAAUGGUUCAGACUCAGGCGUCAUCAGCCCAGAUGGCUCCGAGGGUGGGUUCUCUCUUAGUUACCGUGUCCAGAGCCCACCUCCCUCACACCCACACAGCGCUUCCUAAAGGCAGGGACAGGAGCUGGCCUCCCUCGCCUGCUGGCAUGGGGCUGGACACAGGAGGAAGUGGCGUGGGGGCUGCCUGAGGGGAGUGAGGCGGCAGGAUAGCUUCCCCAGCAGGUCUCUGGCUCAGGUCCAGGUAUCUCCUCCUCCCCAUACCUCUGCCUCUCGCCUCCGCUCAGAAAAGCAGGUGCCCUUAAGAGCCAUCUCCACCCCCAUGUAAACUGCACACAGGAAGGGAGAGGCCACUCCGACUGCUCUGAGGUCCAGGUAGGAUGGUUUCCCCCAGUGUCUGGGUGGGGAGCAAGGAACUCCAGGGGCGACCUUGUGCCACCGCAUCACCUUCCUGCUCAGGGAAGGGGCCUGUGCUGCCGCUUGGAGGGUGCCAUGCCCAGAGCCUCUGCCCCUAGCCUCAGCCUCGCCUACUCACUGGGGGCUCCAGCACCCCCGGCCACCCCAGGACUCCCGAAGAGGCUGCUAGGUCGGCCUGCCCAAAGAGCGGUGAGGAGCGUAUGUGAAGAGCCCCAGUCUUGAGGAGCAGCCUGUAUCUGGAGAGAGGGGAGCCCCGGACCAGAGGUGGGGGACAGGAAGCCAUCGCCCCACCCUGCCUCCUCCCCCACCACAGGUGGCCCUCGCCCCGGCCCACCCGCGCCUCCCAGGCCCAGCCUCACCUGCUGCCGAGAGAGGACAGUGAUCCCCCAAAAGCCGGAGGUGGAGGAGGAGGAGGAAGAGGAGGAAGGAGCUGGAGGAGCCGGGGACUCGCCCGCUGAAGAUGCUCUUGUCAAGACAAUGAAUGAGAAGCAGCCGUGCGCCCGCCUCCGGGGUGGCCGCGCCCCUUGGGGCGGAGCUCUUCCAGGCCCGCCCUGCGCUCCCGGGCUCCCGCUGCGGCCGC
Molecule: long non-coding RNA, 1681 nt
Filed under: Homo sapiens (human)
Lineage: Eukaryota; Metazoa; Chordata; Mammalia; Primates; Hominidae
Description: HSALNT0385292
Source: RNAcentral